UGUGCAAGACAGGAGCGUACAGGUUU
RNAcentral lists this non-coding RNA (26 nucleotides) under Mus musculus (house mouse). RNAcentral also lists the same sequence under 1 other name. Lineage: Eukaryota; Metazoa; Chordata; Mammalia; Rodentia; Muridae. The record is from RNAcentral.